RNAcentral lists this ribosomal RNA (549 nucleotides) under uncultured bacterium. RNAcentral describes it as "bacterial SSU rRNA". It matches the Rfam family "Bacterial small subunit ribosomal RNA", at positions 355 to 896 of the family's 1533-position model. The record is from RNAcentral.
UAGGGAAUCUUCCGCAAUGGGCGAAUGCCUGACGGAGCAACGCCGCGUGAGUGAAGAAGGAUUUCGGUUCGUAAAGCUCUGUUGUUAGGGAAGAAUGAUUGUGUAGUAACUAUACACAGUAGAGACGGUACCUAACCAGAAAGCCACGGCUAACUACGUGCCAGCAGCCGCGGUAAUACGUAGGUCCCGAGCGUUGUCCGGAUUUAUUGGGCGUAAAGCGAGCGCAGGCGGUUAGAUAAGUCUGAAGUUAAAGGCUGUGGCUUAACCAUAGUACGCUUUGGAAACUGUUUAACUUGAGUGCAAGAGGGGAGAGUGGAAUUCCAUGUGUAGCGGUGAAAUGCGUAGAUAUAUGGAGGAACACCGGUGGCGAAAGCGGCUCUCUGGCUUGUAACUGACGCUGAGGCUCGAAAGCGUGGGGAGCAAACAGGAUUAGAUACCCUGGUAGUCCACGCCGUAAACGAUGAGUGCUAGGUGUUAGACCCUUUCCGGGGUUUAGUGCCGCAGCUAACGCAUUAAGCACUCCGCCUGGGGAGUACGACCGCAAGGUUG